GUGGGUGGAAUCAAGCUGACAAGAUACUGAGGAAGGCUAGGGAGGUGGCACCAACGUAUGCAUUUGCAAAUCAUGAGGGUCCUGGCAGGGUGUGAUUCUUCAUCCUUCUUUCACCGCACUACCUUCUGAGAGGAGGCCUGUCUUGAUAUUGAUAAGGUCAGUGGUAAUCUGUCUGACUCCCAUGCUGUGCCUUGCAGCGUCCCUUGAAUGACUAUCGCGUGGGCAUGGAACUUUCGGGGACCGUCUGUGCUCUCUACUUCAAUCAUGGAAUCAAAGUGGACCUUGGGGGCCAGUAUGACGGGUGAGGCCACCUGGGAACUUGAAUCAUCAACUGAUUUCAGACAGGCGGCGCCAAUCUGCCAGGAGACUGAAAGCCAUCUCUUGCCACGCCCUCUUAAAAUAUGUCUGGCAUCCUGCAGGAUGUUGCCUGUCAUCAACACAGAUGAUGCUUGGGCAGCCCUGAGAGGACAUUUUGAGCUAGAUUCACCUGUGAAAGUGCGGGUCCAUAAGGUGAUGCAUACACCUCCCCCUGAAUCUAGAGUGCCUGGACGAGAAACAUGUGAGCAGUGGUGCAUGGUGUGAGGUGGUCUACUACUGCAAUGUGUGCCGCAGAUAUUCUAUGGGCCACGUUGCCGAUUUCCCAUUCAGCUGGAGCUUUUGGAGCCUGCCGAACUCAUUGACCAAAUGUGCGCAAUGCCAGUUGCUUGUGCCAGUCUUGACAUUUUUAUGCGCCAGUUUCAAACAAGUCAGUGACUGUUGGACUAGAAACUCUGCUCCGAGUACA
Molecule: long non-coding RNA, 784 nt
Filed under: Coccomyxa subellipsoidea
Lineage: Eukaryota; Viridiplantae; Chlorophyta; Trebouxiophyceae; Coccomyxaceae
Description: long non-coding RNA (CSUB_LNC000596)
Source: RNAcentral